GGUGUAGCUCAGUGGUAAAGUGUGUGCUUAGCAUGCAUGAGUCCCUAGGUUCAAUCUCUAGCACC
Molecule: transfer RNA, 65 nt
Filed under: Heterocephalus glaber (naked mole-rat)
Lineage: Eukaryota; Metazoa; Chordata; Mammalia; Rodentia; Bathyergidae
Rfam family: tRNA
About the family: Transfer RNA (tRNA) molecules are approximately 80 nucleotides in length.
Source: Rfam by way of RNAcentral